AACGCUGGCGGCGCGCUUAACACAUGCAAGUCGAGCGAGAACCGGGACUUCGGUCCCGGGGACAGCGGCGAACGGGUGAGUAACACGUGGGUAAUCUGCCCUCGAUUCUGGGAUAGCCCGGGGAAACCCGGAUUAAUACCGGAUAGCCUUUCGAGCCUUCGGGCUUGGAAGAAAAGGUAGCUUCGGCCUCCGAUCGAGGAUGAGCCCGCGGUGGAUUAGCUUGUUGGCGGGGUAAUAGCCCACCAAGGCGA
This 251-nucleotide ribosomal RNA is filed under the name uncultured Actinomycetes bacterium. RNAcentral's name for it is "uncultured actinobacterium partial 16S ribosomal RNA". It matches the Rfam family "Bacterial small subunit ribosomal RNA", at positions 32 to 276 of the family's 1533-position model. Lineage: Bacteria; Bacillati; Actinomycetota; Actinomycetes. The record is from RNAcentral.